RNAcentral lists this ribosomal RNA (211 nucleotides) under uncultured fungus. Its description in RNAcentral is "partial small subunit ribosomal RNA". The stretch from base 102 to 211 matches the Rfam family "Eukaryotic small subunit ribosomal RNA", at positions 752 to 864 of the family's 1831-position model. The record is from RNAcentral. Lineage: Eukaryota; Fungi.
GGCGGGGUUGGGCGGUCGGGCCAUUGGUCUGGACUGCCGGCGCUGUCUUUACUCUGGGGAGCCCGGGUGCACUUUAGUGUGUGCGCGGGGGAGCCAGACGCUUACCUUGAAAAAAUUAGAGUGUUUAAAGCGGGCGCGUGCUUGAAUACAUUAGCAUGGAAUAAUAGAAUAGGACUUGGGUUCUAUUUUGUUGGUUUCUAGGACUCGAGUA